GACGUAGGGUGCGAGCGUUGUCCGGAUUUAUUGGGCGUAAAGAGCUCGUAGGCGGCUUGUCGCGUCGAAUGUGAAAACUCGGGGCUCAACUCCGAGCUUGCAUUCGAUACGGGCAGGCUAGAGUUCGGUAGGGGAGACUGGAAUUCCUGGUGUAGCGGUGAAAUGCGCAGAUAUCAGGAGGAACACCGAUGGCGAAGGCAGUGGUCUGGGCCGAUACUGACGCUGAGGAGCGAAAGCGUGGGGGAGCGAA
This 250-nucleotide ribosomal RNA is filed under the name uncultured bacterium. Its description in RNAcentral is "partial 16S ribosomal RNA". It matches the Rfam family "Bacterial small subunit ribosomal RNA", at positions 524 to 772 of the family's 1533-position model. The record is from RNAcentral.